AAUAUUGGACAAUGGGGGCAACCCUGAUCCAGCCAUGCCUCGUGUGUGAAGAAGGUCUNUUGGUUNUNAAGCACUUUAAGCAGUCNAGAAGACUCCAUGGUUAAUACCCAUUGACGAUGACAUUAGCUGCAGAAUAAGCACCGGCUAACUCUGUCACAGCAGCCGCGGUAAUACAGAGGGUUCAAGCGUUAAACGGAAUUACUGGGCGUAAAGCGAGCGUAGGUGGCUUGAUAAGUCAGAUGUGAAAGCCCCGGGAUUAAACUGGGAACGGCAUCUUAUAAUGUUAGGCUAGAGUAGGUGAGAGGAAGGUAGAAUUCCAGGUGUAGCGGUGAAAUGCGUAGAGAUCUGGAGGAAGACCGAUGGCGAAGGCAGCCUUCUGGCAUCAUACUGACACUGAGGUUCGAAAGCGUGGGUAGCAAAC
This 421-nucleotide ribosomal RNA is filed under the name uncultured bacterium. RNAcentral describes it as "partial 16S ribosomal RNA". It matches the Rfam family "Bacterial small subunit ribosomal RNA", at positions 360 to 773 of the family's 1533-position model. The record is from RNAcentral.